This 1017-nucleotide ribosomal RNA is filed under the name Flavobacterium granuli. RNAcentral's name for it is "bacterial SSU rRNA". It matches the Rfam family "Bacterial small subunit ribosomal RNA", at positions 60 to 1086 of the family's 1533-position model. Lineage: Bacteria; Pseudomonadati; Bacteroidota; Flavobacteriia; Flavobacteriales; Flavobacteriaceae. The record is from RNAcentral.
AGUCGAGGGGUAUAAGUCUUCGGAUUUAGAGACCGGCGCACGGGUGCGUAACGCGUAUGCAAUCUACCUUUCACAGAGGGAUAGCCCAGAGAAAUUUGGAUUAAUACCUCAUAGUAUACUGAGUUGGCAUCAACAUGGUAUUAAAGUCACAACGGUGAAAGAUGAGCAUGCGUCCCAUUAGCUAGUUGGUAAGGUAACGGCUUACCAAGGCUACGAUGGGUAGGGGUCCUGAGAGGGAGAUCCCCCACACUGGUACUGAGACACGGACCAGACUCCUACGGGAGGCAGCAGUGAGGAAUAUUGGACAAUGGGCGCAAGCCUGAUCCAGCCAUGCCGCGUGCAGGAUGACGGUCCUAUGGAUUGUAAACUGCUUUUGCACAGGAAGAAACACUGAUUCGUGAAUCAGCUUGACGGUACUGUGAGAAUAAGGAUCGGCUAACUCCGUGCCAGCAGCCGCGGUAAUACGGAGGAUCCAAGCGUUAUCCGGAAUCAUUGGGUUUAAAGGGUCCGUAGGCGGUCUAGUAAGUCAGUGGUGAAAGCCCAUCGCUCAACGGUGGAACGGCCAUUGAUACUGCUGGACUUGAAUUACUGGGAAGUAACUAGAAUAUGUAGUGUAGCGGUGAAAUGCUUAGAGAUUACAUGGAAUACCAAUUGCGAAGGCAGGUUACUACCAGUGGAUUGACGCUGAUGGACGAAAGCGUGGGUAGCGAACAGGAUUAGAUACCCUGGUAGUCCACGCCGUAAACGAUGGAUACUAGCUGUUGGAAGCAAUUUCAGUGGCUAAGCGAAAGUGAUAAGUAUCCCACCUGGGGAGUACGUUCGCAAGAAUGAAACUCAAAGGAAUUGACGGGGGCCCGCACAAGCGGUGGAGCAUGUGGUUUAAUUCGAUGAUACGCGAGGAACCUUACCAAGGCUUAAAUGUAGUUUGACCGUUUUGGAAACAGAACUUUCGCAAGACAAAUUACAAGGUGCUGCAUGGUUGUCGUCAGCUCGUGCCGUGAGGUGUCAGGUUAAGUC